Molecule: long non-coding RNA, 2506 nt
Filed under: Zostera marina
Lineage: Eukaryota; Viridiplantae; Streptophyta; Magnoliopsida; Alismatales; Zosteraceae
Description: long non-coding RNA (ZMAR_LNC004438)
Source: RNAcentral
CCAGUUUCUUCUCGACUAACACCGACAAAUAAUGAAAAUCGUGUGAAACGAAAGGGUGAAACAACAACUCAACAUGUUGGAUCACCAAAGACACCUUCGGAAGGUCAUUCUCCAAACGCAGCCAAUGAAAAUGGAUCGUCGUUCCUACCACAUUCUCCAUCAUCGUCACCUGGUCAAGAAGAAAGUGUGGAGAGUCCUUUAGGUUCCGCUAGGGAAACACCUACAAACGAAGCAAGUUUCAUUGGAAGAUCACCAAAUAAUGAAGAUCAUUUGAAAACAUCAAGUGGGGCUCCUUCUUCAACACCUACAAUUGGAAAAUCAAUUCCAUCGUUGGAACCACAACAAGAAGACAUGGCAUCUCCACAAACAGGAUCUCCUCGACUAACACCGACAGAUAAUAAAAAUCAUGUGAAACGAAAGGGUCAAACAACAACGCAACAUGUUAGAUCACCAAAUUCACCUUUGGAAGGUCAUUCUCCAAACGCACCCAAUGAAAAUGGUUCGUCGUUCCUACCACAUUCUCCAUCAUCGUCACCUGGUCAAGAAGAAAGUGUGGAGAGUCCUUCAGGUUCCGCUAGGGAAACACCUACAAACGAAGCAAGUUUCAUUGGAAGAUCACCAAAUAAUGAAGUACAUUUGAAAACAUCAAGUGGGGUUCCUUCGUCAACACCUACAAUUGGAAAAUCAAUUCCAUCGUUGGAACCACAACAAGAAGACAUGGCAUCUCCUCAACCAGUUUCUUCUCGACUAACACCGACAAAUAAUGAAAAUCGUGUGAAACGAAAGGGUGAAACGACAACGCAACAUGUUGGAUCACCAAAUUCACCUUUGGAAGGUCAUUCUCCAAACGCACCCAAUGAAAAUGGUUCGUCGUUCCAACCACAUUCUCCAUCAUCGUCACCUGGUCAAGAAGAAAGUGUGGAGAGUCCUUCAGGUUCCGCUAGGGAAACACCUACAAACGAAGCAAGUUUCAUUGGAAGAUCACCAAAUAAUAAUGAAGAUCAUUUGAAAACAUCAAGUGGGGCUCCUUCGUCAACACCUACAAUUGGUAAAUCAAUUCCAUCGUUGGAACCACAACAAGAAGACAUGGCAUCUCCACAAACAGGAUCUCCUCGACGAACACCGACAGAUAAUAAAAAUCAUGUGAAACGAAAGGGUCAAACAACAACGCAACAUGUUAGAUCACCAAAUUCACCUUUGGAAGGUCAUUCUCCAAACGCACCCAAUGAAAAUGGUUCGUCGUUCCUACCACAUUCUCCAUCAUCGUCACCUGGUCAAGAAGAAAGUGUGGAGAGUCCUUCAGGUUCCGCUAGGGAAACACCUACAAACGAAGCAAGUUUCAUUGGAAGAUCACCAAAUAAUGAAGAUCAUUUGAAAACAUCAAGUGGGGCUCCUUCGUCAACACCUACAAUUGGAAAAUCAAUUCCAUCGUUGGAACCACAACAAGAAGACAUGGCAUCUCCUCAACCAGUUUCUUCUCGACUAACCCCGACAAAUAAUGAAAAUCGUGUGAAACGAAAGGGUGAAACAACAACUCAACAUGUUGGAUCACCAAAGACACCUUUGGAAGGUCAUUCUCCAAACGCACCCAAUGAAAAUGGAUCGUCGUUCCUACCACAUUCUCCAUCAUCGUCACCUGGUCAAGAAGAAAGUGUGGAGAGUCCUUCAGGUUCCGCUAGGGAAACACCUACAAACGAAGCAAGUUUCAUUGGAAGAUCACCAAAUAAUAAUGAAGAUCAUUUGAAAAUAUCAAGUGAGGCUCCUUCGUCAACACCUACAAUUGGUAAAUCAAUUCCAUCGUUGGAACCACAACAAGAAGACAUGGCAUCUCCACAAACAGGAUCUCCUCGACUAACACCGACAGAUAAUGAAAAUCAUGUGAAACGAAAGGGUCAAACAACAACGCAACAUGUUGGAUCACCAAAGACACCUUUGGAAGGUCAUUCUCCAAACGCACCCAAUGAAAAUGGAUUGUCGUUCCUACCACAUUCUCCAUCAUCGUCACCUGGUCAAGAAGAAAGUGUGGAGAGUCCUUCAGGUUCCGCUAGGGAAACACCAACAAACGAAGCAAGUUUCAUUGGAAGAUCACCAAAUAAUGAAGAUCAUUUGAAAACAUCAAGUGGGGCUCCUUCGUCAACACCUACAAUUGGAAAAUCAAUUCCAUCGUUGGAACCACAACAAGAAGACAUGGCAUCUCCUCAACCAGUUUCUUCUCGACUAACACCGACAAAUAAUGAAAAUCGUGUGAAACGAAAGGGUGAAACAACAACUCAACAUGUUGGAUCACCAAAUUCACCUUUGGAAGGUCAUUCUCCAAACGCACCCAAUGAAAAUGGUUCGUCGUUCCAACCACAUUCUCCAUCAUCGUCACCUGGUCAAGAAGAAAGUGUGGAGAGUCCUUUAGGUUCCGCUAGGGAAACACCUACAAACGAAGCAAGUUUCAUUGGAAGAUCACCAAAUAAUGAAGAUCAUUUGAAAACAUCAAGUGGGGCUCCUUCGUCAACAC